Molecule: ribosomal RNA, 449 nt
Filed under: uncultured bacterium
Lineage: Bacteria
Description: bacterial SSU rRNA
Rfam family: Bacterial small subunit ribosomal RNA
Source: RNAcentral
CCAGACUCCUACGGGAGGCAGCAGUGGGGAAUAUUGCACAAUGGGGGGAACCCUGAUGCAGCAACGCCGCGUGAAGGAAGAAGUAAUUCGUUAUGUAAACUUCUAUCGACAGGGAAGAAAGAAAUGACGGUACCUGAAUAAGAAGCCCCGGCUAAUUACGUGCCAGCAGCCGCGGUAAUACGUAAGGGGCAAGCGUUAUCCGGAUUUACUGGGUGUAAAGGGCGUGUAGGCGGGAAAGCAAGUCAGAUGUGAAAACCACGGGCUCAACCUGUGGCCUGCAUUUGAAACUGUUUUUCUUGAGUACUGGAGAGGCAGACGGAAUUCCUAGUGUAGCGGUGAAAUGCGUAGAUAUUAGGAGGAACACCAGUGGCGAAGGCGGUCUGCUGGACAGCAACUGACGCUGAGGCGCGAAAGCGUGGGGAGCAAACAGGAUUAGAUACCCGAGUAAG